Molecule: ribosomal RNA, 2422 nt
Filed under: human gut metagenome
Description: bacterial LSU rRNA
Rfam family: Bacterial large subunit ribosomal RNA
Source: RNAcentral
GUAAAUAAUAAAGGGCGUAUGGUGGAUGCCUAGGCUCUCAGAGGCGAAGAAGGACGUGAUAAGCUGCGAAAAGCUCCGUUUAGGUGCAAAUAACCUUUGAUGCGGAGAUCUCCGAAUGGGAUAACCCAAUAUGUUGAAGACAUAUUAUACCGUAAGGUAGGCAAACGCAGGGAACUGAAACAUCUAAGUACCUGCAGGAGAAGAAAACAAACGUGAUUCCCCCAGUAGCGGCGAGCGACCGGGGAUAAGCCCAAACCGUUAUUGUUUCGGCAGUAGCGGGGUAGUAGGACUGCGACAUUGAUGAAAUAAAUGAAAUGGAACACUUUGGAAAAUGUGAUCACAGAGGGUGAUAAUCCCGUACAUGCAAGUUUAUGAAUCAUAGCAGUAUCCUGAGUAAGUCGGGACACGUGUAAUCCUGACCGAAUCCGCCGGGACCAUCCGGCAAGGCUAAAUACUCCUGAGAGACCGAUAGUGAACCAGUACCGUGAGGGAAAGGUGAAAAGCACUUCGAACAGAAGAGUGAAAUAGUCCCUGAACCCAUACGCCUACAAGCAGUCGGAGCCGCUUCGUGCGGUGACGGCGUGCCUUUUGCAUAAUGAGCCUACGAGUUACUCAUCACCAGCGAGGUUAAGUACUUCAGGUACGUAAGCCGAAGCGAAAGCGAGUCUGAAUAGGGCGUCAAGUUGGUGGUGGUAGACGCGAAACCUAGUGAUCUACCCAUGGGCAGGGUGAAGGUUUGGUAACACAAACUGGAGGCCCGAACCGGUAAACGUUGAAAAGUUUUCGGAUGACCUGUGGGUAGGGGUGAAAGGCCAAUCAAACUGGGAAAUAGCUCGUACUCUCCGAAAUGCAUUUAGGUGCAGCCUCUGUUGUUUUGUUCUAGAGGUAGAGCUACUGAUUGGAUGCGAGGGCUUCACCGCCUAUCAAAUCCGGCCAAACUCCGAAUGCUAGAACAUGAAGACAGGGAGUGAGCCAGCGGGUGCUAAGGUCCGUUGACGAAAGAGGGAGAACUCAGACCAUCAGCUAAGGUCCCCAAUUAUAUGCUAAGUUGGAAUAAAAACGGGGUGGGACUGCUUAGACAGCUAGGAUGUUGGCUUGGAAGCAGCCAUUCAUUUAAAGAGUGCGUAACAGCUCACUAGUCGAGCGGUCCUGCAUGGAUAAUACGCGGGCAUAAGCAUAUAACCGAAGCUAUGGGAUUGUAGAUGAUACAAUCGGUAGGAGAGCAUUCCAUUCAGCAUAGAAGCAGUACCGUGAGGUAUUGUGGAGCGGAUGGAAAAGCAAAUGUAGGCAUAAGUAACGAUAAUGCGGGUGAGAACCCCGCACGCCGAAAGAUCAAGGAUUCCCCGGCAAUGUCAAUCAUCCGGGGGUAAGUCGGAUCCUAAGGGUAAGCCGAGUGGCGAUCCCGAUGGUAAACAGGUUAAUAUUCCUGUACUGAUCAUAACUGCGAUGCAGCGACGCAGAGGUGACACUGCUGCGUACUGACGGAAUAGUACGUUGAAACCCGUAUUCUUUGAUACCGGUAGUGAAGCACGCCGGUAGAGAUGAAAGGUGAUAGUACCGCAAUGCUUCGGUUGCGCGGAUAAUGCAGGUAAGCUGACUGCCAAGAAAACCUGCUAAGCUUCAGGUAAUGAUCAUCCGUACUGUAAACGGACACACGUGAUCAGGUAGAAAAUACUAAGGCGCUCGAGAGAUUCAUGGUUAAGGAACUAGGCAAAAUGGUCCUGUAACUUCGGGAUAAAGGACGCUCCUUGUGAAAGUAGGCCGCAGAUAAUAGGCCCAGGCGACUGUUUACCAAAAACACAUGGCUAUGCUAAUUCGCAAGAAGAUGUAUAUGGCCUGACACCUGCCCGGUGCCGGAAGGUUAAGAGGAGAGCUCAGAGGUAACUCGAAGGUUUGAAUUGAAGCCCCGGUAAACGGCGGCCGUAACUAUAACGGUCCUAAGGUAGCGAAAUUCCUUGUCGGGUAAGUUCCGACCUGCACGAAUGGUGUAACGAUCUGGGUACUGUCUCAACCAUGAGCUCGGUGAAAUUGUAGUUCCGGUGAAGAUGCCGGAUACCCGCAACGGGACGGAAAGACCCCGUGAACCUUUACUGCAGCUUUGCAUUGAUUUUGGGUAACAGAUGUGUAGGAUAGGUCGGAGGCUUUGAUGCUGCGUCGUCAGGCGUAGAGUAGCCGUCGUUGAAAUACGACCCUUUUGUUAUCUGAGGUCUAAUCCCGUUAGGGAGACAUUGCAUGGUGGGUAGUUUGACUGGGGUGGUCGCCUCCAAAAGUGUAACGGAGGCUUCUCAAGGUACCCUCAAGGCGUUUGGUAAUCGUCUGCAGAGUGCAAUGGCAUAAGGGUGCUUGACUGUGAGACCGACACGUCGAUCAGGUUGGAAACAAGAGCAUAGUGAUCCGGUGGUUCCGCAUGGAAGGGCCAUCG